RNAcentral lists this ribosomal RNA (721 nucleotides) under uncultured bacterium. RNAcentral describes it as "bacterial SSU rRNA". It matches the Rfam family "Bacterial small subunit ribosomal RNA", at positions 63 to 743 of the family's 1533-position model. The record is from RNAcentral.
CGCUUUGUGGUUCACUGAUUUGAAGAGCUUGCUCAGAUAUGACGAUGGACAUUGCAAAGAGUGGCGAACGGGUGAGUAACACGUGGGAAACCUACCUCUUAGCAGGGGAUAACAUUUGGAAACAGAUGCUAAUACCGUAUAACAAUGACAACCGCAUGGUUGUUAUUUAAAAGAUGGUUCUGCUAUCACUAAGAGAUGGUCCCGCGGUGCAUUAGCUAGUUGGUAAGGUAAUGGCUUACCAAGGCGAUGAUGCAUAGCCGAGUUGAGAGACUGAUCGGCCACAAUGGGACUGAGACACGGCCCAUACUCCUACGGGAGGCAGCAGUAGGGAAUCUUCCACAAUGGGCGAAAGCCUGAUGGAGCAACGCCGCGUGUGUGAUGAAGGGUUUCGACUCGUAAAACACUGUUGUAAGAGAAGAAUGACAUUGAGAGUAACUGUUCAAUGUGUGACGGUAUCUUACCAGAAAGGAACGGCUAAAUACGUGCCAGCAGCCGCGGUAAUACGUAUGUUCCAAGCGUUAUCCGGAUUUAUUGGGCGUAAAGCGAGCGCAGACGGUUAUUUAAGUCUGAAGUGAAAGCCCUCAGCUCAACUGAGGAAUUGCUUUGGAAACUGGAUGACUUGAGUGCAGUAGAGGAAAGUGGAACUCCAUGUGUAGCGGUGAAAUGCGUAGAUAUAUGGAAGAACACCAGUGGCGAAGGCGGCUUUCUGGACUGUAACUGA